RNAcentral lists this ribosomal RNA (440 nucleotides) under uncultured bacterium. RNAcentral describes it as "partial 16S ribosomal RNA". It matches the Rfam family "Bacterial small subunit ribosomal RNA", at positions 338 to 795 of the family's 1533-position model. The record is from RNAcentral.
CCUACGGGUGGCAGCAGUGGGGGAUAUUGCACAAUGGGGGAAACCCUGAUGCAGCGACGCCGCGUGUGGGAAGACGGUCCUCUGGAUUGUAAACCACUGUCCCCAGGGACGAAGAUGCCGGUACCUGGGGAGGAAGCUCCGGCUAACUACGUGCAAGCAGCCGCGGUAAUACGUAGGGAGUGAGCGUGGUCCGGAAUUACUGGGUGUAAAGGGAGCGUCGGCGGGGAUGCAAGGUGGGUGUCAAAACUACCGGCUCAACUGGUAGUCGCACUCAAAACUGCAGCUCUUGAGUGAAGUAGAGGCAGGCGGAAUUCCUAGUGUAGCGGUGAAAUGCGUAGAUAUUAGGAGGAACACCAGUGGCGAAGGCGGCCUGCUGGGCUUUUACUGACGCUGAGGCUCGAAAGUGUGGGGAGCAAACAGGAUUAGAUACCCUUGUAGUC